Molecule: ribosomal RNA, 374 nt
Filed under: uncultured bacterium
Lineage: Bacteria
Description: bacterial SSU rRNA
Rfam family: Bacterial small subunit ribosomal RNA
Source: RNAcentral
GAUGAACGCUGGCGGCGUGCCUAAUACAUGCAAGUCGAACGAACCCUUCGGGUUAGUGGCGGACGGGUGAGUAACACGUUAGUACCUGCCCUUUAGUGGGGAAUAACCCGGCGAAAGUCGGGCUAAUACCGCAUGUGAUCCUUCGGGAUGAAAGCCUUCGGGCGCUAAAGGAGGGGCUUGCGUUAGAUUAGCUAGUUGGUAGGGUAAUGGCCUACCAAGGCGACGAUCUAUAGCUGGUUCGAGAGGANGACCAGCCACACUGGGACUGAGGUACGGCCCAGACUCCUACGGGAGGCAGCAGUAAGGAAUCUUCCGCAAUGGACGAAAGUCUGACGGAGCAACGCCGCGUGCAGGAUGACGGCCUCGGUUGUAAC